RNAcentral lists this ribosomal RNA (863 nucleotides) under uncultured archaeon. RNAcentral's name for it is "bacterial SSU rRNA". It matches the Rfam family "Archaeal small subunit ribosomal RNA", at positions 1 to 873 of the family's 1478-position model. The record is from RNAcentral.
UUCCGGUUGAUCCUGCCGGACCCGACUGCUAUCAGAGUGAGAUUAAGCCAUGCGAGUCAACGUAGCAAUACGUGGCAUACGGCUCAGUAACACGUAGUCAACAUAACCAAAGGACGUGGAUAAACUCGGGAAACUGAGGCUAAACCGCGAUAGAUCAAGAUACCUGGAAUGGUUUUUGAUCAAAAUCUAUAUGGCCUUUGGAUUGGACUGCGUCCGAUCAGGCUGUUGGUGAGGUAAUGGCCCACCAAACCUAUAACCGGUACGGGCUCUGAGAGGAGGAGCCCGGAGAUGGGUACUGAGAUAAGGACCCAGGCCCUAUGGGGCGCAGCAGGCGCGAAACCUCUGCAAUAGGCGAAAGCUUGACAGGGUUACUCUGAGUGACUUUCGUUAAGAAAGUCUUUUGACACCUCUAGAAAUGGUGUAGAAUAAGGGGUGGGCAAGUCUGGUGUCAGCCGCCGCGGUAAUACCAGCACCCCGAGUGGUCGGGACGAUUAUUGGGCCUAAAGCAUCCGUAGCCGGCCUUACAAGUCCUCCGUUAAAUCCAGCUGCUUAACAGAUGGGCUGCGGAGGAUACUAUAAGACUAGGAGGCAGGAGAGGCAAGCGGUACUCAGUGGGUAGGGGUAAAAUCCGUUGAUCCAUUGAAGACCACCAGUGGCGAAGGCGGCUUGCCAGAAUGCGCUCGACGGUGAGGGAUGAAAGCUGGGGGAGCAAACCGGAUUAGAUACCCGGGUAGUCCCAGCCGUAAACGAUGCAGACUCGGUGAUGGACUAGCUUUAUGCUGGUCCAGUGCCGCAGGGAAGCCGUUAAGUCUGCCGCCUGGGUAGUACGGUCGCAAGACUGAAACUUAAAGGAAUUGGCGGGA